RNAcentral lists this ribosomal RNA (372 nucleotides) under uncultured organism. RNAcentral's name for it is "bacterial SSU rRNA". It matches the Rfam family "Bacterial small subunit ribosomal RNA", at positions 526 to 896 of the family's 1533-position model. The record is from RNAcentral.
CGGAGGUCCCGAGCGUUGUUCGGAUUCACUGGGCGUAAAGGGUGCGUAGGUGGUGAGGUAAGUCGGAUGUGAAAGCUCCAAGCUCAACUUGGAAAUGGCAUUGGAAACUACCUUGCUAGAGGGUUUGAGGGGGGACUGGAAUACUUGGUGUAGCAGUGAAAUGCGUAGAUAUCAAGUGGAACACCAGUGGCGAAGGCGAGUCCCUGGAAAACUCCUGACACUGAGGCACGAAAGCUAGGGGAGCAAACAGGAUUAGAUACCCUGGUAGUCCUAGCCGUAAACGGUGCGUAUUUGCUGUAAAAGGAAUCGACCCCUUUUGUGGCGUAGCCAACGCGUUAAAUACGCCGCCUGGGAAGUACGGUCGCAAGAUUA